GGAUAUAGCUUAGUUGGUGGAGAGUUUGCCUCACAUGCACAAGGCCCUGGGUUCAAUCCCCAGCAAAAACCA
RNAcentral lists this transfer RNA (72 nucleotides) under Marmota monax (woodchuck). Its description in RNAcentral is "tRNA.Val". Lineage: Eukaryota; Metazoa; Chordata; Mammalia; Rodentia; Sciuridae. The record is from RNAcentral.